GCUCUUUGGUUAUGAAGAUGAAGAGUUGGGCCUGCCCGGUGAGUAAUUUAACGGUUGCAAUGAGAAUUGUACUAAGGUAGCAUAAUAAUUUGUCUUUUAAUUGGAGAAUGGAAUGAAUGGUUUAAUGUAAAAAAACUGUUUCUGUAAAAUUUUAUGAAUUUUCCUUUUAAGUGAAAAGGCUUAAGUGUUUGUAAAAGACGAGAAGACCCUGUCGAGUUUAAUUUGAAUUUAUAAAAGUUUAUAGUUCUAAAUUUUGUUGGGGCAAUGUAAAUUAAGAAAGCAAUUUAAUAAGGUUGGAAUCCUUUUAGAAAGAAUAAAGAAAAAAUUACCGCAGGGAUAACAGCGUUAUCCUUUUUGAGAGAUCUUAUUGAGAAAAGGGUUUGCGACCUCGAUGUUGGAUUAAGAAAACUUUAUGGUGCAGCAGCUUUAGAAGUGAGACUGUUCGUCUUUUAAUUUCUU
RNAcentral lists this ribosomal RNA (459 nucleotides) under Dosinia sp. 2 AMNH 311612. Its description in RNAcentral is "partial large subunit ribosomal RNA". It matches the Rfam family "Bacterial large subunit ribosomal RNA", at positions 1818 to 2597 of the family's 2925-position model. Lineage: Eukaryota; Metazoa; Mollusca; Bivalvia; Venerida; Veneridae. The record is from RNAcentral.